AUGACAGUCCCGUCUCCAGCUGCGUCCUCUCGUGCUCCGCGAGCACCCUUUCCCCUUUCGACUCGACACGACCCGCUCGGCCCCCACUUCCCUUCCCUUCCCUUCAUCACCAUGUGCGCUUUUCGCAUCUCCGUCUCGCCGACUGACUCCUCGUCCUCCCCGAGCAGUCCUCCCCUCACUUUGCAGCCUCCUCCGCGGCGCCCAGCAGUUGCGCCCCGGGGCACACAAGAGAGAGAAAGAGGAGAGGGAGAGGGAGCCCCGCUUCCGCGCGAAGCUUCCGCCAUGGGCGACAUCUCGACCGCGGCGGCGAGCGCGGAGGAGCGCGAGCCCCAGCCCAAGGACCCGAGGACGAUCGCGCGCAAGUAUCAGUUGGAUCUCUGCAAGAGGGCUCUCGAGGAGAACAUCAUAGUGUACCUAGGCACGGGAUGCGGGAAGACCCAUAUAGCCGUGUUGCUCAUAUACGAGCUUGGCCAUCUCAUUCGCAAACCCAGACGUGAUGUCUGCAUCUUCCUCGCCCCGACAGUCCCCCUUGUUCUCCAGCAAGCAACGGUGAUUGCUAAUUCCACCAAUUUCAGAGUUCAAAGUUACUAUGGGGAUGGUAAAAACCCAAGAAAUCACGAGGACUGGGAGACAGAGAUGGGGGAAUCUGAGGUUCUUGUAAUGACUCCCCAGAUUUUGUUGCAUAGUUUGCGGCAUUGUUUCAUCAAGAUGGACUCAAUUGCACUUCUGAUAUUCGAUGAAUGCCAUCACGCACAAGCACACAAGCGGCAUCCAUAUGCACAAAUUAUGAAGGAAUUCUACGAUAAUGACAUGGUGAAGCCCCCUCGCAUUUUUGGCAUGACUGCUUCACCAGUAAUUGGAAAAGGCGGGUCUAACAAGCUUAAUUACACCAAAUGUAUCAACAGCCUUGAAGAAUUAUUGCAUGCCAAGGUCUGUUCGGUUGAUAAUGCAGAGCUGGAAAGUGUGCUUGCUUUUCCUGAUAUGGAGGUGUACACGUAUGUCCCGCUUAGUCACUCUAAUCUUACUGUAACUUACAACAAAGAACUUGAUUGCUCAAAGCUUGAGAGUGAACGCAUACUACGCGAGAGCCUAUACGAUUUCAAGGAUUCUCAGAAGAAACUAAAGUCCCUGGGGAGGUUGCAUGGAAAUUUAGUAUUCUGUUUGCAAGAACUUGGUUCGUUUGGAGCUCUGCAAGCUGCAAAGGCUUUCCUUUCAUUUGAUGGUGAUGUUUUGGACAGAAAGGAGUCUGACAUGAACGACAAUUCUACCAGAUUUAAGCAUCACUACCUAAACAAAGCAAUUUCUGUUCUGAAUUGCAACAUAUUAGACGGUACCCAUGAUGAUUCAUUUCGUCUAGAGAUGCUAGAAGAACCUUUCUUCUCAAAUAAAAUUGUGGUUCUUAUUAAAAUUCUCUCGAGAUACAGGCUAGAGGAAAACAUGAAGUGCAUAGUUUUCGUGAAAAGAAUAACUGUUGCAAGAGCAAUAGCACAUAUCCUCCAAAAUUUGAAAGGCCUUGAUCUUUGGAAAUGUGAGUUCCUUGUGGGACGCCACUCGGGACCAAAGAACAUGUCAAGGCAGAAGAUGGAUGCUAUUGUUGAAAAUUUCUCUUCUGGCGAGGUGAAUCUUUUGAUUGCUACCAGUGUAGGUGAAGAGGGUCUGGACAUUCAGACUUGUUGCCUCGUUGUGCGGUUUGAUCUUCCAGAAACUGUUGCCAGUUUUAUCCAGUCGAGGGGACGUGCUCGGAUGACAAAUUCUAAAUAUGUUGUUCUCCUGGAGAGGGGCAAUCAUUCUCAAGAAAAGUUGCUUAAUGACUAUAUUGAUGGUGAAGGCAUUAUGAAUGGAGAGAUAGACUUGAGAACUUCAAAUGAUGUGUUUGAUCACCUCGAGGAGAAAAGUUAUCGAGUGGAAAAAACGGGUGCUUCCAUUAGCACUGCAUGUAGUGUAUCUCUACUACAUCGCUACUGCUACAACCUUCCCAAGGAUAUGUUCUUCAAUCCUUCCCCAGCAUUCAUCUACAUUGAUGACACCGAGGGGAUAAUCUGCAGAGUAAUUCUUCCACCAAAUGCUGCUUUUCGUCAAGUGGAUGGCCAACCAUGCCAAUCAAAUGACGAGGCUAAGAGGGAUGCAUGCUUAGAGGCAUACGUGAAAUUGUAUGAAUUGGGUGCUUUGACAGAUUUUCUUCUGCCUGGUUCAGGUUCAGGAAAGAACAGGGCAUCAACAACAAACGGUUCAGCAAGCAACAGUCAUGAUGAUGAAAGUCUAAGAGAAGAGCUUCAUGAGAUGUUAAUUCCCACAAUUCUCAAACCUUCAACAUGCAAACUGGACAGUCCAUUGAACUUGCAUUUCUACUAUAUUCAAUUCUUUCCCAUACCAGCAGAUAGACAUUAUCGGAUAUUUGGUCUUUUUGUGAUCAACCCCCUUCCUAUGGAAGCUGAAAAGUUGGAGGUUGAUUUGCAUCUGGCUCGUGGCAGGAUUGUGAAAGCAGGAAUGAAACAUUUAGGGACGAUAUCAUUUGACGAAGAACAGAUGAUGCUUGCACGCAAUUUCCAAGAAAUGUUUCUGAAGGUUCUCCUGGACAGAUCUGAGUUCACUGUGUCUCAUGUUAUGUUGUUGAGCAACAGUGAAACGCUACAGUUUAAUUCAACCUUUUACCUGCUGCUUCCAAUCAAGCAGGAAUUGUAUGGUGAUAUAUUUAUGAUUGACUGGCCAACAGUUAAGCGCUGUUUAUCAUCACCGGUUUUUAAAGAUCCAACUGGUGUGUCUGCGCAUGGAUCAUAUUUGCCAGAUGAGUCUUUAAGGCUUCUUGAUAAUAUGUACAGUAAAACUGAUGUCGUUGGCAGUCUAAUCUUUGCUCCCCAUAUUAAGACAUUUUUCGUCAUUGAUGUCAUUCUGAACGAACUAAAUGCUAGAAGUGAAUACGACGGUGCUACUUAUGAAGAUCAUUACAAGGAAAGGUUUGGUAUCAAACUAUCACAUCCCGAGCAGCCACUUCUGCACGCUAAGCAGCUCUGCAAUCUGCAUAAUUUGCUUCAUGACCGAUUACGGGAGACCACAGAAGAAGGUCAUGAAUUGAUGGAGCACUUUGUGGAGUUGCCUCCAGAGCUAUGUUCUUUGAAGAUAAUUGGGUUUUCAAAGGAUAUGUGUAGCUCCCUGUCUUUGUUACCAUCGUUGAUGUGUCGGUUGGAGAAUUUGCUGGUAGCUAUUGAGUUGAAGGAUGUCAUGUUGUCUUCAUUCUCAGAGGCUUCUCAAAUUAGUGCCUCUGGUAUCCUUGAAGCACUUACCACCGAAAGGUGUUUGGAGAGGAUUUCUUUGGAGCGCUUUGAAGUCUUAGGUGAUGCUUUUUUGAAGUAUGUAGUUGGACGUCACAACUUUCUUACAUAUGAAGGACUUGAUGAAGGGCAAUUGACCAGCAGACGUUCUGCUAUAGUGAAUAAUUCACAUUUAUAUGAGUUAUCAAUCAAAAGAAAUUUGCAGGUGUACAUACGGGAUCAACACUUUGAACCGACACAGUUCAUUGCACUGGGAAGGCCUUGUAAAGUUGUUUGCAAUGCUGACACAGAAGUGAAUAUACACACAGAUAGCCGAGAAAACUGUAACUUGAGGUGUACAAAGUCGCAUCAUUGGUUGCAUAGGAAGACUAUAGCGGAUGCUGUUGAAUCGCUUGUCGGAGCAUUUCUUGUUGAAGGUGGAUUCAAAGCUGCAUUUGCAUUCCUUCGCUGGGUGGGAAUAGAUGUUGAUUUUAAAGAUUCAUCUCUAUAUAGAGUAUUAGAUGCAAGCUCCAUCAAUUUAUCUCUCACGAACCACACCAACGUCGGUGAGCUUGAGGAAUUAAUCGGUUACAAUUUCAAACAUAAGGGUCUAAUUCUCGAAGCAUUUGUGCAUCCUUCAUUCAAUAAACAUUCUGGAGGAUGCUACCAGAAAUUGGAGUUCCUUGGAGAUGCUGUUUUGGAAUAUUUGAUAACCUCGUACCUCUACUCAGCUUAUCCUGAUCUAAAGCCUGGUCAAAUAACUGAUUUAAAAUCGUUAGCUGUCAGUAAUAAUUCGCUUGCAUAUGUGGCAGUCCAGAAAGGUAUCCAUAAGUAUCUUAUAAAGGAUUCAAAUUAUCUUUCGACAGCAGUGAAUAAGUUUGAGAAUUAUAUUAGACUUCCCAAUUCAGAGAAAGACUUGGUAGAAGAACCAGCAUGCCCAAAGGUUCUUGGUGAUAUUGUCGAAUCUUGUGUUGCUGCAGUUCUUUUAGAUUCAGGAUUCAACCUGAACUACGUUUGGACACUAGUGCUUAUGCUUCUAAAGCCAGUGUUGAGCUUCUCUGACAUGCACAUGAAUCCCAUGAGAGAAAUUCGGGAACUUUGUCAAUGUCAUGAACUUGAGUUAGGCCUUCCCGAACCUAUGAAAGCUGAUGGAGAGUACCACGUCAAAGUGGAAGUUAACAUAAACAGCCAGGUGAUAAGUUCUGCCGCUGCAAACCGGAAUUCAAAAGUUGCUAGGAAGUUUGCUGCACAAGAAACACUUUCUAAACUGAAGAAUUAUGGAUACACACAUAAAAACAAGUCACUGGAAGAGAUUUUGCGAGAUGCUAGGAAGAAAGAACCAGAACUACUAGGUUAUAAUGAAGAACCAAUCAAAGUCGAGGCGGACAUAUCUGCAGAAAUGAAUAAUCUGAAGAUAGGUAAAGAAAGGGAUGCAAACAUCUCUUUCCAAAAUACGGAAAUUUCUAUUCGUGGGACUCUUAGAACCUCUAGCCAAAGAACGGCAGGGAAUACCAUGUUUUCCAAGGAUGAUGUCAGUAUUGAAAGGAAUAAUCAGCUCAAGGUUGCAAAGCAGAAUGCCUGUCUGCCGAAGGGAACAACUCAGAAAAAUAUUAGAAAGGAGUAUCAUGGUGAUAUGGUAAAUAAAACAGCAAAGUCUUUCCUUUUUGAAGUAUGUGCCGUAAGUUAUUGGAAACCCCCUGAAUUUGAAUUGUGCAAAGAAGAAGGGCCAAGCCACCUCCGAAGAUUCACGUACAAGGUUACAGUUCAGAUCAGGGGACCCUCGGAGACACUCUUGGAGUGCUACAGCGAUGCUCAACUACAGAAGAAGGCCGCACAAGAGCAUGCCGCGCAGGGGGCUCUGUGGUAUCUCAGGCAACAUGGGUACCUACCCAAAGAUGAAGUUUGUGUGUAG
RNAcentral lists this ribosomal RNA (5160 nucleotides) under Triticum aestivum (bread wheat). Its description in RNAcentral is "partial small subunit ribosomal RNA". Lineage: Eukaryota; Viridiplantae; Streptophyta; Magnoliopsida; Poales; Poaceae. The record is from RNAcentral.